UGAGCAAUCUGCCCUUCUCUUUGGAAUAAGCGUUGGAAACGACGUCUAAUGCCGAAUACGACCUCCUUUCGCAUGAUCGGAGGUGGAAAGCUCCGGCGGAGAAGGAUGAGCUCGCGGCCUAUCAGCUAGUUGGUGUGGGUAAUGGCCCACCAAGGCGACGACGGGUAGCUGGUCCGAGAGGAUGACCAGCCACAGUUGGGACUGAGACACCGGCCCAGACCUCCGUAGG
RNAcentral lists this ribosomal RNA (229 nucleotides) under uncultured bacterium. RNAcentral's name for it is "partial 16S ribosomal RNA". It matches the Rfam family "Bacterial small subunit ribosomal RNA", at positions 118 to 345 of the family's 1533-position model. The record is from RNAcentral.